This 1836-nucleotide ribosomal RNA is filed under the name Salmonella enterica. RNAcentral's name for it is "partial 23S ribosomal RNA". It matches the Rfam family "Bacterial large subunit ribosomal RNA", at positions 1200 to 2925 of the family's 2925-position model. The record is from RNAcentral. Lineage: Bacteria; Pseudomonadati; Pseudomonadota; Gammaproteobacteria; Enterobacterales; Enterobacteriaceae.
CUGCGGCAGCGAACGUAUCACCCAAGACAACUUUACACAGUUGACGCCUGACGGAGCGAAGCGACGUCAAAGCGUUUUACAACGUCGAGUUGGCUUAGGGAUACGUUCGUUGGGUAGGGGAGCGUUCUGUAAGCCGUUGAAGGUGUGUCGUGAGGCAUGCUGGAGGUAUCAGAAGUGCGAAUGCUGACAUAAGUAACGAUAAAGCGGGUGAAAAGCCCGCUCGCCGGAAGACCAAGGGUUCCUGUCCAACGUUAAUCGGGGCAGGGUGAGUCGACCCCUAAGGCGAGGCCGAAAGGCGUAGUCGAUGGGAAACGGGUUAAUAUUCCCGUACUUGGUGUUACUGCGAAGGGGGGACGGAGAAGGCUAUGUUGGCCGGGCGACGGUUGUCCCGGUUUAAGCGUGUAGGUGUGUGUUCCAGGUAAAUCCGGUUCACUUUAACACUGAGGCGUGAUGACGAGGCACCACGGUGCUGAAGCAACAAAUGCCCUGCUUCCAGGAAAAGCCUCUAAGCCUCAGGUAACAUCAAAUCGUACCCCAAACCGACACAGGUGGUCAGGUAGAGAAUACCAAGGCGCUUGAGAGAACUCGGGUGAAGGAACUAGGCAAAAUGGUGCCGUAACUUCGGGAGAAGGCACGCUGACACGUAGGUGAAGUGGUUUACCCAUGGAGCUGAAGUCAGUCGAAGAUACCAGCUGGCUGCAACUGUUUAUUAAAAACACAGCACUGUGCAAACACGAAAGUGGACGUAUACGGUGUGACGCCUGCCCGGUGCCGGAAGGUUAAUUGAUGGGGUCAGCGCAAGCGAAGCUCCUGAUCGAAGCCCCGGUAAACGGCGGCCGUAACUAUAACGGUCCUAAGGUAGCGAAAUUCCUUGUCGGGUAAGUUCCGACCUGCACGAAUGGCGUAAUGAUGGCCAGGCUGUCUCCACCCGGGACUCAGUGAAAUUGAACUCGCUGUGAAGAUGCAGUGUACCCGCGGCAAGACGGAAAGACCCCGUGAACCUUUACUAUAGCUUGACACUGAACACUGGUCCUUGAUGUGCAGGAUAGGUGGGAGGCUUUGAAGUGUGGACGCCAGUCUGCAUGGAGCCAUCCUUGAAAUACCACCCUUUAAUGGCUGGUGUUCUAACGUGGGCCCGUGAACCGGGUUGCGGACAGUGUCUGGUGGGUAGUUUGACUGGGGCGGUCUCCUCCUAAAGAGUAACGGAGGAGCACGAAGGUUGGCUAAUCCUGGUCGGACAUCAGGAGGUUAGUGCAAUGGCAUAAGCCAGCUUGACUGCGAGCGUGACGGCGCGAGCAGGUGCGAAAGCAGGUCAUAGUGAUCCGGUGGUUCUGAAUGGAAGGGCCAUCGCUCAACGGAUAAAAGGUACUCCGGGGAUAACAGGCUGAUACCGCCCAAGAGUUCAUAUCGACGGCGGUGUUUGGCACCUCGAUGUCGGCUCAUCACAUCCUGGGGCUGAAGUAGGUCCCAAGGGUAUGGCUGUUCGCCAUUUAAAGUGGUACGCGAGCUGGGUUUAGAACGUCGUGAGACAGUUCGGUCCCUAUCUGCCGUGGGCGCUGGAAGAUUGAGGGGGGCUGCUCCUAGUACGAGAGGACCGGAGUGGACGCAUCACUGGUGUUCGGGUUGUCAUGCCAAUGGCACUGCCCGGUAGCUACAUGCGGAAGAGAUAAGUGCUGAAAGCAUCUAAGCACGAAACUUGCCCCGAGAUGAAUCUUCCCUGAGCCUUUAAGGCUCCUGAAGGAACGUUGAAGACGACGACGUUGAUAGGCCGGGUGUGUAAGCGCAGCGAUGCGUUGAGCUAACCGGUACUAAUGAACCGUGAGGCUUAACCUUACA